AUUCUUUGAGCCAGGGGUCUGUCUGUAUUCUUUGAGCCAGGGGUCUGUCUGUAUUCUUUGAGCCAGGGGUCUGUCUGUAUUCUUUGAGCCAGGGGUCUGUCUUCUUUGAGCCAGGGGUCUGUCUUCUUUGAGCCAGGGGUCUGUCUCUGUAUCAGAGUGUCUCCCUGAGAGGUUUCUUUCAGUUGAACUCACUCGUCUUGGAUAUAGGUUUGAUUGAUCUAGAUGUCCAUCCAGCCUUCUGACAGACAGUCAGUUUGGGUGUAAACAGGAAGAUGCUACACCCUGCCCUUCCUCAGCAGACAGACAGCAGAUUUUGAAUGACACAAUUACAACAAUAGGUUUUUGCUGCAUGGGUUAUUUGAGUUGGUUGGGUUUUUUGGGUUGGUUAGGUUGGUUGGGUUAGUUAGGUUGAUUAGGUUGGUUAGGUUGGUUGGGUAAGUUAGGUUAGGUUGGGUAAGUUAGGUUGGUUGGGUAAGUUAGGUUGGUUGGGUAAGUUAGGUUGAUUGGGUUAGUUAGGUUGGGUAAGUUAGGUUAGGUUGGGUAAGUUAGGUUAGGUUGGGUAAGUUAGGUUGAUAUGGUUGGUUGGGUUAGUUAGGUUGAUAUGGUUGGUUGGGUUAGUUAGGUUGAUAUGGUUGGUUGGGUUAGUUAGGUUGGCUGGGUAAGUUAGGUUGGCUGGGUAAGUUAGGUUAGGUUGGGUAAGUUAGGUUAGGUUGGGUAAGUUAGGUUGGUUGGGUAAGUUAGGUUGGUUGGGUAAGUUAGGUUAGGUUGGGUAAGUUAGGUUGGUUGGGUAAGUUAGGUUAGGUUGGGUAAGUUAGGUUGGUUGGGUAAGUUAGGUUAGGUUGGGUAAGUUAGGUUAGGUUGGGU
Molecule: long non-coding RNA, 864 nt
Organism: Oncorhynchus tshawytscha (Chinook salmon)
Lineage: Eukaryota; Metazoa; Chordata; Actinopteri; Salmoniformes; Salmonidae
Source: Ensembl